Long non-coding RNA from Labrus mixtus (cuckoo wrasse), 4867 nucleotides. RefSeq lists it as uncharacterized. The transcript has 2 exons. Lineage: Eukaryota; Metazoa; Chordata; Actinopteri; Labriformes; Labridae. The record is from RefSeq and is a predicted model, not a curated record.
UAAAUGUCUUUAAUCCUACAGCUUCUUUUUCAAUGCCCACCACCCCUCGCACACAGCUUUGCCCUCUUUCAUCACAUUCAAGCUGAUGCGAGUUUACAAGGCUAUAAAGGGAAUGCCUGCAGACCAUUUUCGAGCCCUCAACACCACCCAUUGCCCUCAUUAUACCCAAACUCUCAUCUCUUCUAUGUAAAAACCUGGACAUUGUCCCACUAAGCUUUGGCUUCUCUCCCUCCCGGCUUGCAAAUAGCGAAAGUUGGAGCAGGCAUUUUAGGAAAACAGUCACUCUCCACUCUCCCUGCAUAAGCUAGAAACUAAUCUCUUUACAAAACACUCAACGUUUUUAUGUAUUUCUUCCACUACUGUGCCAAACUAAUUGAGGACCACUGCAGUGGCUCUCCACAGCUCUUUUAAUUAUUCUGCGAUUUUUCAGUCGUUCCUCAUUUUCCAUUUAGCCCUCAAGCAUCCUUAGGAAAACUGCCACAUUUGUCUUUUUUAUAUGCAUUUGUAGCACAUUUCUGCAGCACAACUGUAAUGUAUUGCGAGUGGGAUCCAUCUGGGAUGUGCUCUGGAGCUGGACCUUGAGGCUAACAGCCACCUGGAGCCCAGAGAAUACACCGACUGUGAGAAAGGGAUGGAGAUGAAGACAAUACAGGCCUAUGAAAAAAAAAAAAAAAAAAAGGCAUCGAUUGUCAUAGGGUAUGUGGGAGUAGAUAACAAGAUGGAUGAGCUCCCUGCAUUGGCCAGGACGUAGGCUAGUGGGACUCUAAUGUUCACUGAGAUGUGGCUUAAAGCCUGAGCUCCUGCCUCACACUCAACUGGGAGCUUUCCAUUCGAGCGAACAGAGGGGGGAAAUAAGAUGAGAAGAAGAAGAAGACGAAAGGGCCUUGCCAUUUUUAUUCUUUCUUGACAGCAUAAUUCUGGGUGUGUUACAUAUUUCUCAAGAGCAGAUACUGUCUUUACAGGUUGAGCCGUAUUUCCUGCUUUUAUCAGCCGAGCCGUUGCUGUUACAUCACCCACUGAGCUCAUGUUGGAUCAAGACACAUCCUUAUCCAUCAGCAUCCAGGUUCAAAGCUUGACAGUUUGCUUACCAACAACUCAGUUAAAGACAUCCAAUACCAGAGCAACUACAAACCAAGCCCUCCUUGUUGACAGUACCUGAUUUAAUCUGUUGAUGGAUUGCCAGGUUCCCAACUGGUAAAACCCAACGAGGGAAGCUUAAAACCAAAUGCUGGACACCGUCAUCCUCAUGAAAGAGCAUUGUAGGCUAAUUCCUGCUCCUGGGACAUCAGCCCCAUCCUGACUUAAGCUUAUCAGAUAGCAAAUCCAUCCAUUCUGUUAUCAGCGUGUCCAUCUGAGACAUCUUACCAGUGUAAGAACAGGUGGUAUCACGUCAUCCACUCAUGGAAGGAAACCAUUGGCAGUGACUUGCCCUCCCUCAAGGACCUGUAGAGCCCUAUGGAUUAGGAGGCAAAAGACCACGGCCCUCCAUCUGGGAAGGGCUUGUAAUACUGUCAACACAAAGACCACCAGAUGCGUGAACAGCUUUGUCUUCUCCCUGAUGAACACAGAUCGGCCCAUUUCCAACGGUCUAAUAUUGGUUUGUUUAGUUGACUGUGGACACCAAUCACAUUCUGCCAAUGAAUAAUUUUGAAUUACUUUAACUUUUUAUUUUGGUGCCAUCAAAUCAAUCCCAUUGUGUGGAAAAUGUAAAUAAAAUACCCAACAAUUCAACUAAAUAUCAGUAAAAUAUGCAUGAGCUAGGAGCUCUUAUUAAGACAUGGAAAACUUGUCCCUUGACAUUUACACAAACCAAUUAAACCCAGCUUCAAAUGUGAUAUUUAUACAAAGAUAGUAUAUCAUGUUAUACUAAGGAUUAAGGCUCCUUGCUGCACAGAUAAACUAAACCUCAAAAGAAUAAUGAUGGACAGAAAUGAAAGCCAUUUCCAAAACUAGGGAUUUAGCUGAUCAUCUCUUGGAUUUUAUACAUUAAGCUUCUUCCAAAUAGCUGUACUAUACUGAGUAUCAAACAUAUACGCAUUGAAUUGCACCAUGGACUUUAUCGGACAUAGACAUGGACUUUUUUCAACAGUGAAGUUAAAGCAUUCAAACCAGAUUUCUUUGUAAUUACUAGCAUGGUGGUGAGUCCACUGAUUACUAAAAUAAGUCUGAGUGUUUGAAACCAGAUGGGAAAAUUAGCCUUUUUCUUGGUUAUUAUUAACUCGGUAAAGCCUGAGAUAGAUGGCUUUAUCCAAUUCUUUUAAACAUUUUUUGAAUUGUACAAGUUUUGUGGCCUGUAUUGAAGUCAUUCUGUAGUUGUCAUUAAAAUACAUUCUCAGUGUUUCAUCAUUUCGAAUGGCAGGCAAUAAAUCUGAAGGGGCAAGACAACCAUUUUAAAGCCUUUGGUAUAAAUCAGUGAUAUCUGUUCAGAGAGAUUUUGGAAGAAGCCCUUAUUUUUAUUGCAUCACCCAUAUGAAGGAUUGUGAAAUAGCAUUGGAGACACCGCUCUUCAGUGUAAUGAAAUGGACUGCCCUGUGCAGUCACAGUCAUUACUGCAGGUUAGUAAUAAAUGGCGCUGACCUUUUGCUUUACUAAAUGACUUGGCCAAAACAAUGAAAGAUAAAAACAACAGGGGCUUUGUGAGGAAUUCAAACGAUAUCCUUUGGUUAUUUUCUCAUUUUUUCCGUUCAGCAUGCCGCCUGUAAAUCCUGCAAACAGUAUAAAGCCUUCUCCAUAACUGCUACUUAUUUUCAUUCCGCUCACAAUCACUGUCCACAUUGACAAUAUGCUGUUCAGUGAGUAAUGACAUGCAUUGGCUCAACAUCAAUUUUGAGCUCUUUGGUAUUUUUCUCUGUUCACCCUGGGCCCUGCAAGAGACAAGCAACAGUGGAACCUAUUAACAUGAAAAUGAUUAAUGUGGCCAGAUGAACCCGCUUCUGUAAAUCAUUCUUAAAAAGUUGAUGCAAAGGACGCUGGGUAAUUACAUGAUCACAAAUGACCCUGACAAAAUAGUGAUGGGAACGCAUUGGAGAUGGUAUUUAAUGUUGAUUUAUGACGGUGUGUUACGUAUGCUCAUCCUGCUCCUGAAUUAUGAGUGAAAUUUUAGGAUUUGGGGACCAUGUUUACUAGAAAGCAGUACAAUCUUUCAGACAAGGUGAUUUCACAGCCAGAUAAAGUAGUAUAAUGGGAUGAAAAGUGAAAAGUGUAGUUGGGAGGGCAGUUUUUGGCCAUGAAUGAGAUCUUUCCUAUCCUUGAAAAUGCUAGAGAACUACCUAGAUGGCCAUAUUUAGGAGCUACUGACCAUGCUGACAUAUUGGAUGAAUUUUGAGUGAGAACAUGUUGGGCCAACAAUAUCAUUAAUCAAAUGCUAUCAACUGUUCCUGGCUUAGGGGCAAAAGGCCUGUGUUUGACUGCCAGGCAGUGUUUCACUCCUUCUGUUUUGGGUGGAUUCACACAAGAGACCUUGAGAUUCAAUUUCCCAUUUGUAUCCAGAGGCUGUCUCAAAUCAUUGGCUGGAGCCUCUCAAGGACACGGCCCACAGAGGUGUGUUUCUUUGUAAAUCCUGAAGGCUAACCUGACCCCAGCUCCCACUUAAUCUGACACUGUCUGGUCUGAUAGACUGAAACUAAUGAUGCAUUUCAGAGGGCCCCUCAUCUACUCAUCAUGUUAAUUAUUUAAAAGUUAAUGAGCAAAUAGCCAAAGGUGUAAAGGUGCACAGUGAAACUAGGGUAUUGCAACUUUUAUAGUAUGGGUUUUACAGUGUAAAAUUUCACUUUGACACAUAAUGAACUCUUCAAUAUGUGAAAAUCUUCUGGUACUUGCAAUUCCUUGUGAUCAACAUUUCCACACAACCAAAGAGGACAAAGGUUUGCAGUUCUUUGUUUCUAUUAUUUACACCUGGUCUGGUUGAAGUGUUAUAAAACCAGUGAUCAAUGACCAACUGGUAAAUAAAACACAUGCUCAUGAUAGUUCUUAGCUCUACAAGUUGAGAGCAACUGUCUGACUCCAUCAUUAAUUAGCUGGCCAGUACUCAAUGGAUUAUUGGUUACUCAGGGCUGCAAAAUAUUCACAGCCAUGUCCUCAGACUUUGGAAAAAAAGGAGGCUACAUUGCUUUAAACAUUUAAAUUGGGGCAGUUGUAUUUGGUCUAGAAAUACACACGGUUGAGGAUCCAGCCUCUGAAUUAAGACACGAGUAACUUGUGUCCUUAACUACAUAGUCUUUAGAAUUGCUAUGUCAAUGUGUUUCAAGAAAAAAAAACCUGUGGCGAGAGGACCCAUCCCUGGGGGACACCAUUGACAACUGUUGCGGCUGACGUUAUGGAUACAUACAUCUGCUUCCCCAAUGGACAUAAAUGUGUAUGAAUUCAAACUUACAUGUGAAUUUAUUCUGUUUUUUUCCUGGAUUUUGCACCCACACGUACACAGCAACUAACAAUUUGACCAAGAGUGUUAGAAAGAUAGACUUAUUGACUGAUUCAAAGAUUGGCAGACGGAUGUAGCAACAGAAAAACUCCAAGAAAUGGAGACAGAAAAAUCAAAGUGAUUUACUGACAGAAAACCAGACAAACUGAAAUGAUUGACAGGCCGUGAACAGACAACCAGACUUCUGCUUAAGGUUUUUAAUAGAAUCCAACUGAUAGGAUACAGGUUUUAACGGAUAUGUGAGGAUGCAUGGAGGCUCUGAUAACCGACCGGUCGGCUUCAACUUCAUCAGCGCCUCUGAAGUUGUAAGGAAAAGGGAAUAAAGGGAGUGUUGUGCCUCUUCUCAUUCAAGUCUGGAUUGAGCUGUUUAUCAGAGGAAAGUAGUGAAUCUCUUGGCAGAGUGACAGACGAGAGAGUCAGGGUAAAAAAAAAAAUAAAAAAAAAGAA